Molecule: ribosomal RNA, 497 nt
Filed under: uncultured bacterium
Lineage: Bacteria
Description: partial 16S ribosomal RNA
Rfam family: Bacterial small subunit ribosomal RNA
Source: RNAcentral
GAUGAACGCUGGCGGCGUGCCUAAUACAUGCAAGUCGAGCGAACAGACGAGGAGCUUGCUCCUUUGACGUUAGCGGCGGACGGGUGAGUAACACGUGGAUAACCUACCUAUAAGACUGGGAUAACUUCGGGAAACCGGAGCUAAUACCGGAUAACAUGUUGAACCGCAUGGUUCAACAGUGAAAGACGGUCUUGCUGUCACUUAUAGAUGGAUCCGCGCCGCAUUAGCUAGUUGGUAAGGUAACGGCUUACCAAGGCAACGAUGCGUAGCCGACCUGAGAGGGUGAUCGGCCACACUGGAACUGAGACACGGUCCAGACUCCUACGGGAGGCAGCAGUAGGGGAUCUUCCGCAAUGGGCGAAAGCCUGACGGAGCAACGCCGCGUGAGUGAAGAAGGUCUUCGGAUCGUAAAACUCUGUUAUUAGGGAAGAACAAAUGUGUAAGUAACUAUGCACGUCUUGACGGUACCUAAUCAGAAAGCCACGGCUAACUACGUG